UUGUGCCUUCGUUACAGUUAAGAAAUCAUGGUUGAGGGAGUUCCCGUCAUGGCUCACGGAAAUGAGUCCGACUAGGAUCUGUGAGGACAAAGGUUCGAUCCCUGGCCUUGCUCAGUGGGUUAAGGAUCUGGCGUUGCCAUGAACUGUGGUGUGGGUUGCAGACUUGGCUCCGAUCUGGCAUUGCUGUGGCUGUGGCAUAGGCUGGCAGCUAUAGCUCCAAUUAGACCCCUAGCCUGGGAACCUUCAUAUGCCAUGGGUUUGGCCCUAAAAAGACCAAAAAAAAAAAAAAAAAAAAGAACACAAUGUACCAAAACUUAUGCCACCAGUAAAAGCAGUUCUAAAAGGGAAAGUUAUAGCAGAUAAAUGUCUGUACUAAGAAAAAAGAGAUCUUAAAUGAACACCUUAUCUUCAAACCUUAAAGACUAGAAAAAGAACAAACUAAGCACAAUGUUAGCAGAAGGAAGGAAUCAAUAAAGAUUAAAGUGGAUAUACAGACUACAAAAACACUAGAAAAGAUCAAAAUUCAGAGAUGUGGGGAGUUCCUGUUGUGGCUCAGCAGCAAUGAAUUCGACUAGUAUCCAUGAGGAUGCGGGUUCAAUCCCUGGCCUUGCUCCGUGAGGUAAGGAUCCAGCAUUGCCAUGGUCUGUCCGUGGAAAGGGCAGAGCUGCCUCUGGGGGACAAAAGAUAAGAUAGAGACCUGGACACCGGGAUGAGGGCCUUACCCAGGGAGGCCGUAAGUGCCAAGUUCUCCAGCAUCACAAUGUGGUACAGGCGCCUCUGAGCCUCAUCAAGGAGCCCCCACUCCUCCUGUGAGAAGUAAAUGGCCAUAUCCUCAAAGGUCACACAACUCUGCCAUGGUGGGGACAGAUCAUUCCAUUAUCAACUCUCCUAGGACCCCAAGUUCCUUCACCCAGACAUCCAUCUCCAGCCCACCCUCCUCCCAGUGUCCCCACCUUAGAGGAAAUAUCAGGCCUUGGGGCCAGAGAUACCAGUUCUCAUGGUAUCAAGAUCAUGGAAUUCCCAGGAGUUCCCGUUGUGGCGCAGCGGAUAUGAGUCUGACUAGUAUCCAUGAGGAUGUGGGUUCAAUCCCUGGCCUUGCUUAGUGGGUGAAGAAUCCAGCAUUGCUGUGAGCCUGUGGUGUAGGUAAGAUGUGGCUUGGAUCCCACAAUGCUGUGGCUGUGGUGUAGGCUAGCAGCUGUAGCUCUAAUUCGACCCCUAGCCUGGAAACUUCCAUAUCCUGAAGGUGUAGCACCCCCCCCCCAAAAAAAAGGUCAUGGAGUACCUGUGUGUUAAGAAUCCGACUGCAGCGAGCGGCUCUGGCCACUGCAGAGAUGCAGGUUCGAUUUUGGACCAGCAUACUGGGUUGAAGGAUCUGAUAUUGCUGUGGCUCGGCGUCAGUCCCUGGCCCAGGAACUUCCAUGUGCUGCAGGUGCGACCCACAAAAAAGACCGGCCCACAGGAACAACACGCAUGUGGGCAGGCACAUGCCAUCUAAGCUCUGAGCCUGGUGUCAGAGCACAUGACCUCUUGUCAGGUAAUUCGCCUGGAGUACCACAUCGCGCCUCCAAGAGACAAACAAAUGCGGGCCCUCCUUUCACCCCUGUGUCCUCAGUGUCCUGGCCCCUCUCAGUUGAUGCUUUCAGUCCAUGCUCCUCUUUCUACCACACCUCUC
RNAcentral lists this long non-coding RNA (1672 nucleotides) under Sus scrofa (pig). Its description in RNAcentral is "lncRNA (ENSSSCG00025008003.1)". The record is from RNAcentral. Lineage: Eukaryota; Metazoa; Chordata; Mammalia; Artiodactyla; Suidae.